This 245-nucleotide ribosomal RNA is filed under the name uncultured archaeon. RNAcentral's name for it is "partial 16S ribosomal RNA". It matches the Rfam family "Archaeal small subunit ribosomal RNA", at positions 474 to 718 of the family's 1478-position model. The record is from RNAcentral.
UCCCGGCGGUCCAAGUCGCAGCCAACUUUAUUGGGUCUAAAACAUCCGUAGCUUGUUAUGAAAGUCUUUUGUGAAACUCUGUCUCUUAAGGGCAGAAAUGGCAAUAGAUACUACAUGACUAGAGACCGGUGGACGUAAGGAGUACAUUUGAGGUAGUGGUAAAAUACGUUAAUCUUAAAUGGACUAACAACAGCGAAGGCACCUUACGAUGACGGUUCUGACAGUGAGGGAUGAAGGCUAGGGGC